UACGUAGGGGGCAAGCGUUGUCCGGAAUCAUUGGGCGUAAAGAGCGUGUAGGCGGUCCGGUAAGUCGGCUGUGAAAGUCCAGGGCUCAACCCUGGGAUGCCGGUCGAUACUGCCGGACUAGAGUUCGGAAGAGGCGAGUGGAAUUCCCGGUGUAGCGGUGAAAUGCGCAGAUAUCGGGAGGAACACCAGUGGCGAAGGCGAGUCCCUGGACAACACCUGACACUGAGGCACGAAAGCUAGGGGAGCAAACAGG
This 253-nucleotide ribosomal RNA is filed under the name uncultured bacterium. Its description in RNAcentral is "partial 16S ribosomal RNA". It matches the Rfam family "Bacterial small subunit ribosomal RNA", at positions 524 to 776 of the family's 1533-position model. The record is from RNAcentral.